AUUGAACGCUGGCGGCAGGCCUAACACAUGCAAGUCGAGCGGAUGAAGGGAGCUUGCUCCUGGAUUCAGCGGCGGACGGGUGAGUAAUGCCUAGGAAUCUGCCUGGUAGUGGGGGAUAACGUCCGGAAACGGGCGCUAAUACCGCAUACGUCUUGAGGGAGAAAGUGGGGGAUCUUCGGACCUCACGCUAUCAGAUGAGCCUAGGUCGGAUUGGCUAGUUGGUGGGGUAAAGGCCUACCAAGGCGACGAUCCGUAACUGGUCUGAGAGGAUGAGCAGUCACACUGGAACUGAGACACGGUCCAGACUCCUACGGGAGGCAGCAGUGGGGAAUAUUGGACAAUGGGCGAAAGCCUGAUCCAGCCAUGCCGCGUGUGUGAAGAAGGUCUUCGGAUUGUAAAGCACUUUAAGUGGGGAGGAAGGGCAGUAAGUUAAUACCUUGCUGUAUUGACGUUACCAACAGAAGAAGCACCGGCUAACUUCGUG
Molecule: ribosomal RNA, 484 nt
Filed under: uncultured bacterium
Lineage: Bacteria
Description: partial 16S ribosomal RNA
Rfam family: Bacterial small subunit ribosomal RNA
Source: RNAcentral